GCUGAUGCGUUGUUGGGUAGGGGAGCGUUCUGUAAGCCUGCGAAGGUGACCUGUGAGGGUUGCUGGAGGUAUCAGAAGUGCGAAUGCUGACAUAAGUAACGAUAAAGCGGGUGAAAAGCCCGCUCGCCGGAAGACCAAGGGUUUCUGUCCAACGUUAAUCGGGGCAGGGUGAGUCGACCCCUAAGGCGAGGCCGAAAGGCGUAGUCGAUGGGAAACGGGUUAAUAUUCCCGUACUUGGUGUUACUGCGAAGGGGGGACGGAGAAGGCUAUGUUGGCCGGGCGACGGUUGUCCCGGUUUAAGCGUGUAGGUGUGUGUUCCAGGUAAAUCCGGUUCACUUUAACACUGAGGCGUGAUGACGAGGCACUACGGUGCUGAAGCAACAAAUGCCCUGCUUCCAGGAAAAGCCUCUAAGCAUCAGGUAACAUCAAAUCGUACCCCAAACCGACACAGGUGGUCAGGUAGAGAAUACCAAGGCGCUUGAGAGAACUCGGGUGAAGGAACUAGGCAAAAUGGUGCCGUAACUUCGGGAGAAGGCACGCUGACACGUAGGUGAAGUGAUUUACUCACGGAGCUGAAGUCAGUCGAAGAUACCAGCUGGCUGCAACUGUUUAUUAAAAACACAGCACUGUGCAAACACGAAAGUGGACGUAUACGGUGUGACGCCUGCCCGGUGCCGGAAGGUUAAUUGAUGGGGUCAGCG
This 701-nucleotide ribosomal RNA is filed under the name Salmonella enterica. RNAcentral describes it as "partial 23S ribosomal RNA". It matches the Rfam family "Bacterial large subunit ribosomal RNA", at positions 1213 to 1895 of the family's 2925-position model. The record is from RNAcentral. RNAcentral also lists the same sequence under 1 other name. Lineage: Bacteria; Pseudomonadati; Pseudomonadota; Gammaproteobacteria; Enterobacterales; Enterobacteriaceae.